This is a long non-coding RNA of Malania oleifera, 792 nucleotides long. RefSeq lists it as uncharacterized. Lineage: Eukaryota; Viridiplantae; Streptophyta; Magnoliopsida; Santalales; Ximeniaceae. The record is from RefSeq and is a predicted model, not a curated record. The transcript is spliced from 2 exons.
UUUUAUUAUGGUGGUGGGGUAUGGACUGUUCCCUGCCUUUUUGGUACAGAGGGGAAAUCAGGGAGGAGGACCACAUCACAUGGGUGCUGACACUGCCAAUGGGUCCUACAGAUUUAAUCUAAUAUUGCCAGUUUUCAAUGGGUCCCAGCCACCAACACCCAUAACAGGGGAAAGCGGAAAGUAGAGGGUGUGAGCGUUGACACUUGACAGGAAAGGACACGCGCAGAUCUAAAAGCAGAUGUGAAUAGCACACGUUUGAGAAAAGUGCAUCCUGCAGAGGCUGUGGCAGGGGCAGAAGAGUUCUGCAGAGACGGGAGGAAAUGGCAUCUUUUGGGAACUGUAAAACUUGAAUUAACUGUAAAACUGUAAAAGACUGGGAGGUGUGAAUGGAUGUGCGUGAUUGAUUGGUUUAUGGUAAAUUUCAAUUUUUCAUUUGGGUUUUUCACUGUGGCCUCGGAGUUUGGGAAAGGGGAUGGGGAAAAAGAGUAAGGGUAGGCUGCUGGCACAGUUGGAUUGGAUGUGCAUGCAGAUGCAGGGGUAGCAGUUGGGUCAUUAGGUUGUUGACACGUGGGGUCUGGAUGGGGACAGUCAGGCCUGGGAAGCUGUCUCCUACUAGAUCUUACUAGUUAAUUGGCUGUGGGGCAUUGGGUUCUGUUUGGGACAUGGAAAAGUGAUUUCCUUGACCCCAAUAAAGGGGGUGUUUGGUUGUAAUAGUAUUCAAGCUGGGUGUAAGUGAGAUGGUGAUUUGGAGAGAUACAACAACAAUAAAAAUAAAAUCAAGUCUUAGUCCUA